Molecule: ribosomal RNA, 133 nt
Filed under: Carlito syrichta (Philippine tarsier)
Lineage: Eukaryota; Metazoa; Chordata; Mammalia; Primates; Tarsiidae
Source: RNAcentral
GUCUAUGGCCAUACCUCCCUGAACACUCCCAAUUUAGUCUGAUCUUGAAGCUAAGCAGGGUCAGGCCUGGUUUGUACUUGGAUAAGAAGUAAUCAAUAAAUGUUGCUUAUUGUUAUUACUAGAUGUGUGGAGC